This 253-nucleotide ribosomal RNA is filed under the name uncultured bacterium. RNAcentral's name for it is "partial 16S ribosomal RNA". It matches the Rfam family "Bacterial small subunit ribosomal RNA", at positions 524 to 776 of the family's 1533-position model. The record is from RNAcentral.
UACAGAGGUCUCAAGCGUUGUUCGGAUUCAUUGGGCGUAAAGGGUGUGUAGGUGGCGCCGUAAGUCGGGUGUGAAAUUUCGGAGCUUAACUCCGAAACUGCAUUCGAUACUGCGGUGCUUGAGGACUGGAGAGGAGACUGGAAUUCAUGGUGUAGCAGUGAAAUGCGUAGAGAUCAUGAGGAAGACCAGUGGCGAAGGCGGCAUCCUGGACCGACAUUGACGCUGAUGCGCGAAAGCCAGGGGAGCAAACGGG